This 1162-nucleotide ribosomal RNA is filed under the name Massilia agilis. RNAcentral's name for it is "partial 23S ribosomal RNA". It matches the Rfam family "Bacterial large subunit ribosomal RNA", at positions 1 to 1212 of the family's 2925-position model. Lineage: Bacteria; Pseudomonadati; Pseudomonadota; Betaproteobacteria; Burkholderiales; Oxalobacteraceae. The record is from RNAcentral.
GGACAAGCGAAUAAGUGCACAUGGUGGAUGCCUUGGCGAUUACAGGCGAUGAAGGACGUUGUAGCUUGCGAUAAGCUGCGGGGAGUGAGCAAACACACUUUGAUCCGCAGAUUUCCGAAUGGGGAAACCCGGCCUUUUAGGUCAUCUCAUACUGAAUACAUAGGUAUGUGAAGCGAACGCGGCGAACUGAAACAUCUAAGUAGCUGCAGGAAAAGAAAUCAACCGAGAUUCCCAAAGUAGUGGCGAGCGAAAUGGGAUGAGCCGUUACGUGAUAGUCGGACUGAUAGUGGAAGCCUUUGGAAACAGGCGCCAUAGCGGGUGAUAGCCCCGUACACGAAAUCAGACCGGUGGUACUAAGCGUAAGACAAGUAGGGCGGGACACGUGAAAUCCUGUCUGAAGAUGGGGGGACCAUCCUCCAAGGCUAAAUACUCGUAAUCGACCGAUAGUGAACCAGUACCGUGAGGGAAAGGCGAAAAGAACCCCGGGAGGGGAGUGAAAUAGAACCUGAAACCGUGUGCAUACAAACAGUCGGAGCCUCUUUAUGGGGUGACGGCGUACCUUUUGUAUAAUGGGUCAGCGACUUACAUUCAGUGGCGAGGUUAACCAGAUAGGGGAGCCGUAGAGAAAUCGAGUCCGAACAGGGCGACAGUCGCUGGGUGUAGACCCGAAACCAGAUGAUCUAUCCAUGGCCAGGAUGAAGGUGCGGUAACACGCCCUGGAGGUCCGAACCCACUAGUGUUGAAAAACUAGGGGAUGAGCUGUGGAUAGGGGUGAAAGGCUAAACAAAUCUGGAAAUAGCUGGUUCUCUCCGAAAACUAUUUAGGUAGUGCCUCAAGUAUCACCAUCGGGGGUAGAGCACUGUCAUGGCUAGGGGGUCAUUGCGACUUACCAAACCAUUGCAAACUCCGAAUACCGAUGAGUGCGAGCUUGGGAGACAGACGUCGGGUGCUAACGUCCGGCGUCAAGAGGGAAACAACCCAGACCGCCAGCUAAGGUCCCAAAGAUUGGCUAAGUGGAAAACGAAGUGGGAAGGCUAAAACAGUCAGGAUGUUGGCUUAGAAGCAGCCAUCAUUUAAAGAAAGCGUAAUAGCUCACUGAUCGAGUCGUCCUGCGCGGAAGAUGUAACGGGGCUAAGCCAGUCACCGAAGCUGCGGAUAUCCG